UGGGAUCUGGUUGCGGUUCUAGUUCUUAUACUCAUUCAU
Molecule: small RNA, 39 nt
Filed under: Arabidopsis thaliana (thale cress)
Lineage: Eukaryota; Viridiplantae; Streptophyta; Magnoliopsida; Brassicales; Brassicaceae
Description: ATSL088600
Source: RNAcentral